AUGGGGUUCAGAUCAGGUGAACAAGGAGGCCAUGUCAUUAGAUUUUCUUCUUUUAUACCCUUUCUUGCCAGCCACGCUGUGGAGUACUUGGACGCCUGUGAUGGAGCAUUGUCCUGCAUGAAAAUCAUGUUUUUCUUGAAGGAUGCAGACUUUUUCCUGUACCACUGCUUGAAGAAGGUGUCUUCCAGGAACUGGCAGUAGGACUGGGAGUUGAGCUUGACUCCAUCCUCAACCCGAAAACGCCCCACAAGCUCAUCUUUGAUGAUACCAGCCCAAACCAGUACUCCACCUCCACCUUGCUGGCGUCUGAGUCGGACUGGAGCUCUCUGCCCUUUACCAAUCCAGCCAUGUGCCCAUCCAUCUGGCCCAUCAAGACUCAC
Molecule: long non-coding RNA, 380 nt
Filed under: Pelobates cultripes (western spadefoot toad)
Lineage: Eukaryota; Metazoa; Chordata; Amphibia; Anura; Pelobatidae
Source: RNAcentral